UACGUAGGGUGCGAGCGUUAAUCGGAAUUGCUGGGCGUAAAGGGUGCGCAGGCGGCUUUGCAAGACAGAUGUGAAAUCCCCGGGCUCAACCUGGGAACUGCAUUUGUGACUGCAAGGCUAGAGUACGGCAGAGGGGGAUGGAAUUCCGCGUGUAGCAGUGAAAUGCGUAGAUAUGCGGAGGAACACCAAUGGCGAAGGCAAUCCCCUGGGCCUGUACUGACGCUCAUGCACGAAAGCGUGGGGAGCAAACAGG
This 253-nucleotide ribosomal RNA is filed under the name uncultured bacterium. RNAcentral's name for it is "partial 16S ribosomal RNA". It matches the Rfam family "Bacterial small subunit ribosomal RNA", at positions 524 to 776 of the family's 1533-position model. The record is from RNAcentral.